CCUACGGGUGGCAGCAGUGGGGAAUAUUGCACAAUGGGGGAAACCCUGAUGCAGCGACGCCGCGUGAAGGAAGAAGUAUUUCGGUAUGUAAACUUCUAUCAGCAGGGAAGAAAAUGACGGUACCUGACUAAGAAGCCCCGGAUAACUACGUGCCAGCAGCCGCGGUAAUACGUAGGGGGCAAGCGUUAUCCGGAUUUACUGGGUGUAAAGGGAGCGUAGGUGGUUUAGCAAGUCAGAAGUGAAAGCCCGGGGCUCAACUGCGGGACUGCUUUUGAAACUGUUGAACUAGAGUGCAGGAGAGGUAAGUGGAAUUCCUAGUGUAGCGGUGAAAUGCGUAGAUAUUAGGCGGAACACCAGUGGCGAAGGCGGCUUACUGGACUGUAAAUGACGCUGAGGCUCGAAAGCGUGGGGAGCAAACAGGAUUAGAUACCCGGGUAGUC
This 440-nucleotide ribosomal RNA is filed under the name uncultured bacterium. RNAcentral describes it as "partial 16S ribosomal RNA". It matches the Rfam family "Bacterial small subunit ribosomal RNA", at positions 338 to 795 of the family's 1533-position model. The record is from RNAcentral.